UACGAAGGGUGCAACCGUUGCUCGGAAUUAUUGGGCGUAAAGCGCACGUAGGCGGCUUUGCAAGUCGGAUGUGAAAUCCCUCGGCUUAACCAAGGAAGUGCAUCCGAAACUGCAGAGCUUGAGUACUUAAGAGGAUCGCGGAAUUCCCGGUGUAGAGGUGAAAUUCGUAGAUAUCGGGAGGAACACCAGUGGCGAAGGCGGCGAUCUGGGAAGAUACUGACGCUGAGGAGCGAAAGCGUGGGGAGCGAACAGG
This 253-nucleotide ribosomal RNA is filed under the name uncultured bacterium. Its description in RNAcentral is "partial 16S ribosomal RNA". It matches the Rfam family "Bacterial small subunit ribosomal RNA", at positions 524 to 776 of the family's 1533-position model. The record is from RNAcentral.